Molecule: long non-coding RNA, 1121 nt
Filed under: Linum usitatissimum (flax)
Lineage: Eukaryota; Viridiplantae; Streptophyta; Magnoliopsida; Malpighiales; Linaceae
Description: long non-coding RNA (LUSI_LNC003950)
Source: RNAcentral
UUUUAACCAGAUUUAACAAAGAAUAUUCUCAUUGGCAAGUCAUUUCAAACUAAUAAUAAUAGAAGACUUUGAAAAAAAGUAAACGAGUUAGAGUUUUUGAAUUAGGAUUUUGUAGCUUGACAAUCAUUAUGGUGAACAUUUUCCUGAACAGGUUCUUAUUCAUCAAAUGAUUGCAGACGACCAGAUACUAUACCAAUUUAUCGCAAAGUCAACAACAUUUAGGGUAACAAGCUAGAUCGGUUAAAUCUCGUAUCGAAGACCAAGUCCGGUACAACCCAUCACAAAUAUUAUGGUUCUAACAGGGGGUGAAGGCCACAAUUUUACCAUAAAACUGUGAACCGUUAUUCUAACCGUUAAACCAUCCCUGCGGCGCUGGUCAUUGGUCUUCCACUUUCGGUAGCCAUGAACGAAGAAGUUAACGACAGUACUUCGAGCCGGCCAUGGAAAGAAAUCCAGGGAAGGAAGAUUAGACUUGCACGUUUGAAGGUCGGAUAUGAAACAUGAUUCUGCGAAACGUUAAGAGGACAUCAGAAGUGACACCAUGAAAAAGUGCACAAAGAAACUGAAUUACUACCUGUGAAAAUUUAAAUGAAACUGACACAAACUGAAUCACUACUGCAAUUCGAAGCAAACAUGUUAGAGUACUCCGGGAAGAAUCAGGCUGACGAACGGUGACAUUUGAGAUUAUACCAUUCCUAGAGAGUAUGCAUAUAGCUCUCAAGGUCCUUGUUGAGAGAACGAUACAAUCUUCUUCGUAAUAUCUUUGAUAACGAACAAGACAAAAGUAAGGAUGGACCUCCAUUAGGAAACAAAAUUCGUUUCGUAGAGACCGAUCUCAAACAACAGUUUUUCCAAUUUAAAGAUUCUCAACAUUCAGUAAAACAAUUAACAGAAGCUUGCUCGCAUUCCUUAUCUAAGAGAGAGUUUUCAAUCCUAGAAUCAGAUUACAAGGUAUAUCCAAAACCAGAAAGGCAAUGAAUUCACGGCGACAGAGCAAGCAACCUUGUCAUUCACCGGUGCGUUUUCUGUUUCGGAAAGAAACAUCAAUUCUCCAUCAUCAAAAGUAUAUUGGUUUCAACUUGUAGAUAUUGAGAUGCAACAUCACGCGAGUUAAAAGAUGU